Long non-coding RNA from Alnus glutinosa, 164 nucleotides. RefSeq lists it as uncharacterized. The transcript has 3 exons. The record is from RefSeq and is a predicted model, not a curated record. NCBI's taxonomy places the organism in Eukaryota, Viridiplantae, Streptophyta, Magnoliopsida, Fagales, Betulaceae.
GCCACUUUGGUGUUCUUGAAGUUAUUUUUCUCUCCAAAUCAAAUUGAAAAGGAGCUAAGAAACUACACCAAGGAGAUUUUCUGUUUUUCAGUGUGAAGCGUCCGGACGGUCUCUCUUGGCAUCCGGACGGGUGGAGCUUAGUCGUCCGGAAGGUUCAGCUUUCA